GCCGAUGUAGCUCAGUUGGUAGAGCAUUCCCAUGGUAAGGGAAAGGUCACCAGUUCGAUCCUGGUCAUCGGCUCCA
This 76-nucleotide transfer RNA is filed under the name Patescibacteria group bacterium. Its description in RNAcentral is "tRNA-Thr". It matches the Rfam family "tRNA". From Rfam's summary of the family: Transfer RNA (tRNA) molecules are approximately 80 nucleotides in length. Their secondary structure includes four short double-helical elements and three loops (D, anti-codon, and T loops). The record is from RNAcentral.